UGGGGAAUUUUGGACAAUGGGCGAAAGCCUGAUCCAGCAAUGCCGCGUGUGUGAAGAAGGCCUUCGGGUUGUAAAGCACUUUUGUCCGGAAAGAAAUCCUUGGCUCUAAUACAGUCGGGGGAUGACGGUACCGGAAGAAUAAGCACCGGCUAACUACGUGCCAGCAGCCGCGGUAAUACGUAGGGUGCAAGCGUUAAUCGGAAUUACUGGGCGUAAAGCGUGCGCAGGCGGUUUGCUAAGACCGAUGUGAAAUCCCCGGGCUCAACCUGGGAACUGCAUUGGUGACUGGCAGGCCAGAGUAUGGCAGAGGGGGGUAGAAUUCCACGUGUAGCAGUGAAAUGCGUAGAGAUGUGGAGGAAUACCGAUGGCGAAGGCAGCCCCCUGGGCCAAUACUGACGCUCAUGCACGAAAAGCGUGGGGAGCAAACAGGAUUAGAUACCCCUGGUAGUCCACGCCCUAAAACGAUGUCAACUAGUUGUUGGGGAUUCAUUUCCUUAGUAACGUAGCUAACGCGUGAAGUUGACCGCCUGGGGAGUACGGUCGCAAGAUUAAAACUCAAAGGAAUUGACGGGGUCAUAGCUGUUUCCU
RNAcentral lists this ribosomal RNA (588 nucleotides) under uncultured bacterium. Its description in RNAcentral is "partial 16S ribosomal RNA". It matches the Rfam family "Bacterial small subunit ribosomal RNA", at positions 355 to 1375 of the family's 1533-position model. The record is from RNAcentral.